UAAUACGGAGGGUGCAAGCGUUACUCGGAACCACUGGGCGUAAAGCGCGCGCAGGCGGCUAUUUAAGUUGGAUGUGAAAGCCUACGGCUCAACCGUAGAACUGCAUCCAAAACUAUUUAGCUAGAGUGUGGGAGAGGAAGAUGGAAUUAGUUGUGUAGGGGUAAAAUCCGUAGAGAUAACUAGGAAUACCAAAAGCGAAGGCAAUCUUCUGGAACACUACUGACGCUGAGGCGCGAAAGCGUGGGGAGCAAACAGGAUUAGAUACCCUGGUAGUCCACGCUGUAAACGAUGUCAACUAGCCGUUGGGGAGUUUAAUCUCUUUAGUGGCGCAGCUAACGCGAUAAGUUGACCGCCUGGGGAGUACGGCCGCAAGGUUA
Molecule: ribosomal RNA, 377 nt
Filed under: uncultured Campylobacterota bacterium
Lineage: Bacteria; Pseudomonadati; Campylobacterota
Description: bacterial SSU rRNA
Rfam family: Bacterial small subunit ribosomal RNA
Source: RNAcentral